This 880-nucleotide ribosomal RNA is filed under the name Cortinarius obtusus. Its description in RNAcentral is "eukaryotic LSU rRNA". It matches the Rfam family "Eukaryotic large subunit ribosomal RNA", at positions 72 to 938 of the family's 3401-position model. The record is from RNAcentral. Lineage: Eukaryota; Fungi; Basidiomycota; Agaricomycetes; Agaricales; Cortinariaceae.
GGAUUCCCCUAGUAACUGCGAGUGAAGCGGGAAAAGCUCAAAUUUAAAAUCUGGCAGCCUUUGGCUGUCCGAGUUGUAAUCUAGAGAAGUGCUAUCCGCGCUGGACCGUGUACAAGUCUCCUGGAAUGGAGCGUCAUAGAGGGUGAGAAUCCCGUCUUUGACACGGACUGCCAGGGCUUUGUGAUACGCUCUCAAAGAGUCGGGUUGUUUGGGAAUGCAGCUCAAAAUGGGUGGUAAAUUCCAUCUAAAGCUAAAUAUUGGCGAGAGACCGAUAGCGAACAAGUACCGUGAGGGAAAGAUGAAAAGAACUUUGGAAAGAGAGUUAAACAGUACGUGAAAUUGCUGAAAGGGAAACGCUUGAAGUCAGUCGCGUUGUCCAGGGAUCAACCUUGCUUUUGCUUGGUGCACUUUCUGGUUGACGGGUCAGCAUCAAUUUUGACUAUUGGAAAAAGAUUAGGGGAAUGUGACAUCUUUGGAUGUGUUAUAGCCCUUGGUUGCAUACAAUGGUUGGGAUUGAGGAACUCAGCACGCCGCAAGGCCGGGUUUUAAACCACGUACGUGCUUAGGAUGCUGGCAUAAUGGCUUUAAUCGACCCGUCUUGAAACACGGACCAAGGAGUCUAACAUGCCUGCGAGUGUUUGGGUGGAAAACCCGAGCGCGUAAUGAAAGUGAAAGUUGAGAUCCCUGUCGUGGGGAGCAUCGACGCCCGGACCAGACCUUUUGUGACGGUUCCGCGGUAGAGCAUGUAUGUUGGGACCCGAAAGAUGGUGAACUAUGCCUGAAUAGGGUGAAGCCAGGGGAAACCCUGGUGGAGGCUCGUAGCGAUUCUGACGUGCAAAUCGAUCGUCAAAUUUGGGUAUAGGGGCGAAAGACUAAUCGA